This 492-nucleotide ribosomal RNA is filed under the name uncultured bacterium. RNAcentral's name for it is "partial 16S ribosomal RNA". It matches the Rfam family "Bacterial small subunit ribosomal RNA", at positions 29 to 507 of the family's 1533-position model. The record is from RNAcentral.
AGUGAACGCUGGCGGUAGGCCUAACACAUGCAAGUCGAACGGCAGCACAGUAAGAGCUUGCUCUUACGGGUGGCGAGUGGCGGACGGGUGAGGAAUACAUCGGAAUCUACUUUUUUGUGGGGGAUAACGUAGGGAAACUUAAGCUAAUACCGCAUACGACCUACGGGUGAAAGCAGGGGAUCUUCGGACCUUGCGCGAAUGAAUGAGCCGAUGUCGGAUUAGCUAGUUGGCGGGGUAAAGGCCCACCAAGGCGACGAUCCGUAGCUGGUCUGAGAGGAUGGUCAGCCACACUGGAACUGAGACACGGUCCAGACUCCUACGGGAGGCAGCAGUGGGGAAUAUUGGACAAUGGGCGCAAGCCUGAUCCAGCCAUACCGCGUGGGUGAAGAAGGCCUUCGGGUUGUAAAGCCCUUUUGUUGGGAAAGAAAAGCAGCAGGUUAAUACCCCGCUGUUCUGACGGUACCCAAAGAAUAAGCACCGGCUAACUUCGUG